Molecule: non-coding RNA, 83 nt
Organism: Aspergillus egyptiacus
Lineage: Eukaryota; Fungi; Ascomycota; Eurotiomycetes; Eurotiales; Aspergillaceae
Source: the annotation of a GenBank genome assembly
GCUCGCAUGGCUUAGUUGGUAAAGCGCAUGACUAGUACUUGGUUGUCAUCAUGAGAUCCUCGGUUCGAAUCCGAGUGCGAGCA